UACGUAGGGUGCGAGCGUUGUCCGGAAUUAUUGGGCGUAAAGAGCCCGUAGGCGGCCUGUCGCGUCGGAUGUGAAAGCCCGGGGCUUAACCCCGGGUCUGCAUUCGAUACGGGCAGGCUAGAGUGUGGUAGGGGAGAUCGGAAUUCCUGGUGUAGCGGUGAAAUGCGCAGAUAUCAGGAGGAACACCGGUGGCGAAGGCGGAUCUCUGGGCCAUUACUGACGCUGAGGAGCGAAAGCGUGGGGAGCGAACAGG
RNAcentral lists this ribosomal RNA (253 nucleotides) under uncultured bacterium. RNAcentral describes it as "partial 16S ribosomal RNA". It matches the Rfam family "Bacterial small subunit ribosomal RNA", at positions 524 to 776 of the family's 1533-position model. The record is from RNAcentral.